RNAcentral lists this ribosomal RNA (450 nucleotides) under uncultured bacterium. RNAcentral describes it as "partial 16S ribosomal RNA". It matches the Rfam family "Bacterial small subunit ribosomal RNA", at positions 338 to 795 of the family's 1533-position model. The record is from RNAcentral.
CCUACGGGCGGCAGCAGUGGGGAAUUUUGGACAAUGGGCGCAAGCCUGAUCCAGCCAUUCCGCGUGCAGGACGAAGGCCUUCGGGUUGUAAACUGCUUUUGUACGGAACGAAAGGGCUCUGGUUAAUACCUGGGGCAUAUGACGGUACCGUAAGAAUAAGCACCGGCUAACUACGUGCCAGCAGCCGCGGUAAUACGUAGGGUGCAAGCGUUGAUCGGAAUUACUGGGCGUAAAGCGUGCGCAGGCGGUUGAAAUCCCCGGGCUCAACCUGGGAACGGCCGUUGUGACUGCAAAGCUGGAGUGCGGCAGAGGGGGAUGGAAUUCCGCGUGUAGCAGUGAAAUGCGUAGAUAUGCGGAGGAACACCGAUGGCGAAGGCAAUCCCCUGGGCCUGCACUGACGCUCAUGCACGAAAGCGUGGGGAGCAAACAGGAUUAGAUACCCCAGUAGUC